CUAGAACCAAUGAGUGGAAAUUAUGGGUAAAGGAAAGAUUCCAGUUCCAUGUUAUGUAGCAGUUCUCCUGCUGAUUAGUACAUUAGUUCAGUCUAUUACUUUGAGAUUACUAUUUAUGUCAGAUUACACAUGCAAAUUAGAAUUUAAUUGUGAGGAUUCUACCACAAACCCAUAAAAUCCAUUAAAAAAAAUACACAUACUAUUGCAUAACUAAAAGUAAGACUACUUAAUUAUCCCCUAAAUUUAUGGAGUCAGGCGUGUGAUGGCGCCCUCUAUUUUUAAGUCUAAAAGUACAAGUGCUGAAAGAGCAGUGUUAGAUAUUUUAAGAGGAAGAGGAGAAUACUG
Pelobates cultripes (western spadefoot toad) is the source of this 345-nucleotide non-coding RNA. The record is from the annotation of a GenBank genome assembly. Lineage: Eukaryota; Metazoa; Chordata; Amphibia; Anura; Pelobatidae.